UACGUAGGUGGCAAGCGUUGUCCGGAUUUACUGGGCGUAAAGAGCGCGCAGGCGGUCCUUUAAGUCUGAUGUGAAAGCCCACGGCUCAACCGUGGAGGGUCAUUGGAAACUGGGGGACUUGAGUGCAGAAGAGGAGAGUGGAAUUCCACGUGUAGCGGUGAAAUGCGUAGAGAUGUGGAGGAACACCAGUGGCGAAGGCGGGUCUCUGGGCAGUAACUGACGCUGAGGAGCGAAAGCGUGGGGAGCGAACAGG
Molecule: ribosomal RNA, 253 nt
Filed under: uncultured bacterium
Lineage: Bacteria
Description: partial 16S ribosomal RNA
Rfam family: Bacterial small subunit ribosomal RNA
Source: RNAcentral